UUAGAUGGUGUUUGUUUACUUACUGAGAUUUUAUAAUCUCACCACCCUCAAUUCCCCACAUUUCAAGUUCGGGAUAGUCGGUAGAUAGCCGAUUGCAUCAAGGACUUCAGUUAGCCUUGCAUUGUCAAAAUUAUAGGUUCACAGACUCGCAUCUUAUUGGUUAGUUGGGGGCCCACAUGUCAUUGUAAAAGUAAUUUUAUACUUUAGUUAUCUGAUUUAAAAUAUGUAUGAACGUAUUUAGCUUUUACACCAUGUUUUU
This 259-nucleotide long non-coding RNA is filed under the name Theobroma cacao (cacao). RNAcentral describes it as "long non-coding RNA (TCAC_LNC004528)". The record is from RNAcentral. Lineage: Eukaryota; Viridiplantae; Streptophyta; Magnoliopsida; Malvales; Malvaceae.